CCAUUGUCUUAUGGGCAAGGGAGAAAACAGCACCAGAGUGAAGGGCAAGGUGUGUGAACAGCAGCCAAAGGGCCUCGGCACUAUCAGUGGGCCCAGAAACCCGAGGUGACAAAGGCGUGAUAGGAACAGAGAUGAGAGGUUGAGCCUGCUUAAAGGAGAUAGGAGGAGACCAGGGUAAAAGUGAAACACGGAGAACUUUCUAGAGCAGUUUUGUGGCAUUAGGAGCACACAUGAAAGUUUUGGGUAAAAUGGGGCCAAAAGAAGUUGCUUUUAAAACUAGAAGUCACUUCUGUGUCAUACGCUGAUAGGGACUACAGAGGAGGAAGACGUAGGAGGGAGUGGGAAAUGUGGCUGGAAUACUGUCCUUGACCGGCUGAGAUCGGACGGGUGAUUCACAGGUGGAGAGGUUGGCUUUGCAGAAGCACUUGCCACGUUCUUCCUUGAUGUGGACAAGGAAACAAGAGGACACAAGGGCGGGUGUGUGGUCUGGCCAUGAAGACAGGAAAGGAAGCAGGGUCAUCUAUCAGGAGGAUCGAUGAGGAAGGUGUUAGGGGUCUGAAGGGAGAAGUGAAGGUUCUCUUGGCGAGAGGGAGGGUGAUGUGUCAGGCCAUAGUGUGUGAUAACCCGUGGGCGUGGACCGAAGAUGAGAACAUUCAACAUUGGUGUGGCAUCCUCCUGCCCCCAAACAAGCAUGGAUAAAGGAAAAAGCGGACUUGACCGUGGGUGCGGUUUUACAAGGAGAUGAGGGGGGACAGAGGUGUCAAAGGGACCCAGAAGGGAGCAGUCACAUGGCUGACCACUGAAGGUAAGUUUCACUCUAGAAAGAAGGGCUUCCGGCUCGGUAAGUGGGAAAAUGUGAGGUCUUUUGCUUUGCCAAGACUGACUGUGGAUGGAAAAAGUCUGAGCCUCAUUGCCCGGAGCCAUCAUUAACUCGGUGGCUCCCUGAUGACUUCAUGGAGGUGACCUGGCUCCUGAACCUGCUCUCCUAAUCAGCUCGCCAAGAGACGGGACACAGCACAUGGGCUGGCAGGGGAACAGAGGUAAGGGGCUGUCAUGUUUUAUUAAACUUGCCAGUGGGCCACCGUGGAGCACCCCAUUCGUUAAAACAAAAGCUUUCCUGCCUCAUCGGCCAGUCUGCCUUGGCAGGGGUAACUCCAGCAGCGGCCUGGACAUGGGCCAGGUGUCUCCCUGCUUCCACUGAACUGAAGGAGCGCCGCCACACGGUUGUCUGUCCUGCCUUCCUGUAAUGGUUGGCCUCCUUCCCAGUCUGACAGCCCCACCUCAAUUUGGUCCUCUGAGUUCUUAAAGAGGACAGAAGGUUGGGGGUGGGGGUCCCUGGCUUCUAGGACCAAGCCCUUGGCUGCUCUGCUCUAGCUCGUCUCUUCCUUACCUAACCUGGUCCUCAUGAGAGAGGUAGACGGACCUUGGCUGCAAGCCUCCUUCUCCCACAUGCAGACCCAGGAUGUGCCGGUUCAGCCUUGCCUACCCGCUGGCCGCCAAGCUCCAGAACCAGGGCAACAAAUAAAUACCACAACGACAGGGAACACUGCAAAGGACCUCAGGGGGACAGACUUCAGGCUGUUAAUGGAAGAACAGAACUGCAGAAAUGAAGAAACCUGCAUGUGUAGGGUCCUUCCCCUGGAGAGCCCUUCUGAGUGUGGACGUGCCCUUGUCCGUGAUGUUGUGAAGAAGCAUGAGGCAGAGGAGCAAGGGGUGAGAUCUGAAAGUCUUUCCUUCUCCUCCCACCAAUGAAGUUUCCAGAGUCCCUCUUCUGUUUUAGCCACAUGCCUUUUCUCUUCUGUCCUUCAAACCAAGUACUCGCUGACAUUUUCCAGCAACCCCGGCCAAUCGCCGUGCCCAGAACCUCCUGAAGAGAUGGGAACAUGAGAAUUCUUUUUCCUAUGUCUUCUUCACACAGAGAUUUAAAGCUGUUAUCCAGAGCUUCCCAUCGACACGCCGUUACUCAUGCCUGCAGCCCUCUGUGCUGUAAAAGACAGUGACUUUAGGUAAAAUAGGAGAAUGUUACAAGGAUAGAGCCCAAGAGCUCGAAACCCAGGUAAAUACCACUGAGAACACACCACAUAGAAAGAUAACCUAGCGGACAGACAGCAGGGAACUCUUGCAGGUUAGCAACCCCUGAAAGCGGCCCACGGGGGUGAAAGUUCCGUUCAAACCCACGAUCUCAAAGGCGAGGAAUUGUUCUGAGGCUUCCCCACUCGAGAAAGAGGCAGAAGCAGUACUGAAGACUAUAGCUGAAGGCUCUGCUCUACCUGGAGAGGACGGGGAAAUAACAUAUUCUUGAAACAGGACGCAGGCCCAGCCUACCACGGGAUCAGGCUAGGAAAGCCCACACCAUAAACACCAGGCCUGCAGGAGACACCUGGACCACAGGACCCCUACAAAACCACUCAGCAGAGGAACCUGAAGGACUUCUGACUCAUCAGUCUCUCCACGCUGGCUCCCUGGCCCAAGCGAGCACAUGAUCCCCUUAAAGGCCUCAGCAUCCCAGCAUGAAUGUUGGUAAGUUAACGGUUUCCCCAUCCUCUGCUACCCCUGAUGCCCAGGCACUCACCACCCAGAGCAGAGCUCCGCGGAGCAGAAGGCCCUAAUGUACCCAUCCACACAUCCUAGCAGGCCCUGCGCAUGCAGGGCACACCUGAGACUGCUCUACCUUUGCUGUCCACGCAUCGUGCAGGGGCUCCACCCACAUCUCCACGCCCUGGCCCUUCACAGACCAACUUCAUGUUUUUCCCUCUAACCACCAAAGAAGCAUCCUACUGUCCAGUCGCGCUCAACCUGAGUGCAGAAGGCCCAGGCGGGUGUUAGCUGCCCGGAGUAAGAAUGGAACUGCACCGAGCCUCUGCCUGCUUGCUCCCCGAGCAGAGUGAAGGAAGAGGCUUCCCACACGUCUUUAAGGACCUGAUGAUCAAGAAGAUACAGAAACUCUGAAUUGCUCUCCUUGGUGUUUUUCCUAAACAGUGCUAAUAAAAUCUUAAACCCACGUGGCAGCCCACUGCUCAUCAACCAUCCACUGCCCUCAGGGUGUACCAGUCUGUGUAGAUUAUAAAUAAAGACUAAAAUAUGCAGCGUGCUCCACACAGGUUCCUUGGGGCCUGUGGAAGGGGACCCAGCCUCCUCCCUGCUGCCUGCUGCCCCCAGUUGGGAGAAGGCUGUCCUUACAGAGUUGUUGCCUAGAGGAAGCUCCCCUGGACAUUGACACACCACUACAAGGACCUGCUAUCCAUCCCUGGA
Molecule: small RNA, 3252 nt
Filed under: Rattus norvegicus (Norway rat)
Lineage: Eukaryota; Metazoa; Chordata; Mammalia; Rodentia; Muridae
Description: uncharacterized LOC102551210
Source: RNAcentral